AUGAAGAAUAUAGAUGAGGAGGGGAUCGAAUCCUGCCCCGUAUGCAAUGCUGCUCUUGGGAUUGCUCCUGAAGAGAAACUCAGGGAUGAUCAAAAAAUUCAGGCUAUCAGGGACCAUGCGUUUCCACCUAAGGCAGAAGUUGACGCUUCAGAGGCUCCAACUAUUACACUGCCAACAAAGAUAAAAGAGAGGUCCAUUUCUUCCUUGGUUGAAACCAAAAAGAUGGCAAUACAACCUACUCUAACAGGACAGAGAGCUGCAAGAAGGAAAUUCAUGUCCCAUUUGUUUUCUGUCGGUAAAUUGCCAAACAAAUCGGAAGACCAUAGUCAGAAGACGGAGAUAGCCUCAGCACCAAAAUCAACCAAGGUGACAACAUCUGCAAACAAAAAGAAGAAUAGUGCAGACAUUUCUGAAGAUGGCAAGAGUCGCGAGACGAUUGACAAUGAAGAGCUUCAUAAGCCCUUACGGGGCUUAGUCGUGGCAAGUGCGAAGAAGUCACAAACAUUAAGUUAUCUGGGGGAAAGUCGGAAAAACAAAACAGCCACAGAGGAUAGUCGGAGGGAAAGCCCAGAAGCAGACUCGGAUGAUGGAAUAACUACCCCAGUCUGGUUUUCACUAGUGACUUCACCCAACCAGGCAGAAGCUAAACGGCUGCCUCAGCUAGAAAAGAAUUUCUACAGAAUUAAAGAUAGAACUAUGCAGGUCUCCUCCAUCCUGCAGCUCAUUAUGAUAAAACUUGAGCUAGCAAGUGACGUUAAGGUGGAGAUCUUAUGUCAUGGUAAGCCGGUCUGCCCCUCGACGACGCUGCCCGGCCUACUCAAGCAGUGGCUGAGCCGCAAGCCGAAGCGCAGGGUCCAGAGGCCGGUGGGUGCUCCGGCGAAUGAGUUUGUGAUGGAGCUGCACUACUGGCGG
Molecule: ribosomal RNA, 912 nt
Filed under: Triticum aestivum (bread wheat)
Lineage: Eukaryota; Viridiplantae; Streptophyta; Magnoliopsida; Poales; Poaceae
Description: partial small subunit ribosomal RNA
Source: RNAcentral